AUCGCUUCUCAGUCUUUUGGCUAAGAUCAAGUGUAGUAUCUGUUCUUCUCAGUUUAAUAUCUGAUACGUCCUCUAUCCAGUUUUCAUUCAUUAGCUUGGCAACUUUAAAAGUAAUCAUACCAAUUGCUGACAGGAAUAAAUCUGUUGUACCAAUCUACAGAGUAAUUUAAUGUUAUCUAGUAAGGUUAGGGGACU
Bison bison bison is the source of this 195-nucleotide small nuclear RNA. Its record names the gene U2. It matches the Rfam family "U2 spliceosomal RNA". Rfam says of the family: U2 is a small nuclear RNA (snRNA) component of the spliceosome (involved in pre-mRNA splicing). NCBI's taxonomy places the organism in Eukaryota, Metazoa, Chordata, Mammalia, Artiodactyla, Bovidae. The record is from Ensembl.